Molecule: ribosomal RNA, 429 nt
Filed under: uncultured bacterium
Lineage: Bacteria
Description: bacterial SSU rRNA
Rfam family: Bacterial small subunit ribosomal RNA
Source: RNAcentral
UGGGGAAUUUUGCGCAAUGGGGGAAACCCUGACGCAGCAACGCCGCGUGGAGGAUGAAGGUCUUUGGAUUGUAAACUCCUGUCAGCAGGGAAAAAGGCUGCGCCGCUCAUACCGGCGUAGAUUGAUUGUACCUGCAGAGGAAGCCCCGGCUAACUCUGUGCCAGCAGCCGCGGUAAUACAGAGGGGGCAAGCGUUAUUCGGAAUUAUUGGGCGUAAAGGGCGCGUAGGCGGCUUGGCAAGUGGAAGGUGAAAUCCCUCGGCUCAACCGAGGAACUGCCUUCCAGACUGCUUUGCUUGAGUCCGGGAGAGGUGAGUGGAAUUCCCAGUGUAGCGGUGAAAUGCGUAGAUAUUGGGAGGAACACCAGUGGCGAAGGCGGCUCACUGGACCGGAACUGACGCUGAGGCGCGAAAGCGUGGGGAGCAAACGGG